UUAAUAAGCGGAGGAAAAGAAACUAACAAGGAUUCCCUCAGUAACGGCGAGUGAAGCGGGAGGAGCUCAAAUUUGAAAUCUCCGAUGCUUGCAUCGGCGAGUUGUAAUUGCGAGAAGCACUUUCUAGGCGGAUCGGUUGUGCCUAAGUUGCUUGGAACAGCACGUCGCAGAGGGUGACAACCCCGUCUGUGGCGCGACCGGCCGCUGACGAUGUGCUUUCGAAGAGUCGGGUUGUUUGGGAAUGCAGCCCAAAAUGGGUGGUAAACUCCAUCUAAAGCUAAAUACUGGCGUGAGACCGAUAGCGA
RNAcentral lists this ribosomal RNA (305 nucleotides) under Lobophyllia hemprichii. RNAcentral describes it as "eukaryotic LSU rRNA". It matches the Rfam family "Eukaryotic large subunit ribosomal RNA", at positions 43 to 343 of the family's 3401-position model. The record is from RNAcentral. Lineage: Eukaryota; Metazoa; Cnidaria; Anthozoa; Scleractinia; Lobophylliidae.